GCUGAUGUGGCUCAGUGGUAGAGCAGCGCAUUCGUAAUGCGCCGGUCGCCGGUUCGAAUCCGGCCAUCAGCUCCA
This 75-nucleotide transfer RNA is filed under the name Clostridia bacterium. RNAcentral's name for it is "tRNA-Thr". It matches the Rfam family "tRNA". Rfam says of the family: Transfer RNA (tRNA) molecules are approximately 80 nucleotides in length. Their secondary structure includes four short double-helical elements and three loops (D, anti-codon, and T loops). The record is from RNAcentral. Lineage: Bacteria; Bacillati; Bacillota; Clostridia.